RNA transcript from Lotus japonicus, 3827 nucleotides. RefSeq lists it as uncharacterized. Lineage: Eukaryota; Viridiplantae; Streptophyta; Magnoliopsida; Fabales; Fabaceae. The record is from RefSeq and is a predicted model, not a curated record. The transcript has 8 exons.
UAGCUUCUCUAUUUCGCUGACGUCACAGAACGCGUUGAUGGAGUAUGCGAGGAAGGAGAGGAGUGUGUCCAUGGUUUGAUUUCGUGGGUAAUCGUCAUCCCUGCAGGCCUUCUCAGGGUCAGGUCUUCUCAGGGUCAGAGCAAAGAGAAGGACGAAGCUGGUGGAAGGAGAAGGAAGAAGCUUUCGUGUACUGUAGAUUGGGUUAGGUUAGGAUUAGGUGGAGAAGAGAGGACGGAUUGAAGUUCAGAGCAAGGAGAUGGUGGAAGUUUUCACUGUUUGUGGUCAGGAGAGGAGCAGAAUCAGAAGCCAAAAACGUGGUAGAUUUCGUCAUCUGAUGCUUUCUCUGAUGUUGGAUCACGUUAGUUGAGUACAAUCCUGGUGAAGCAGGAGAAAAAGAACAGUCAUCUUCUUUGUGGGUUCUAUUCAUUGACAAAUGUUAGUUUAGCAGAAUUGAUUUCAAGAUAAGAACCAUUGAACUUGAUGGCAAGCGCAUUAAGUUAAAAAUCUGGGACACUGCUGGUCAUGAGCGAUUUCAAACUAUUACGACUGAAAGAGGACACAUUACUUUAGUCUAACAAGAUAGUUGCGGGAAACAAGGCUGAUAUGGACGAAAGUAAGAGGGCUGUACCUUCUUCCAAAGGCCAAGCUCUUGCAGAUGAGUAUGGUAUCAAGUUCUUUGAGACUAGUGCAUAAACAAACGUGAAUGUGGAGGAGGUUUUCUUUUCAAUAGCAAGAGACAUCAAGCAGAGGCUUGCAGACAUAGAUUCUAGAGCUAAGAUGAUUCUAAUGAAUUGGCUAAGAAUAAUGAUGAUGGAGAGGAUACAUUCAAGCUAUCCUAUUCUGAUGUUGUGUGAAGAAUUAAAGGAAAAGAACCUUCAGAAAAGUUUUGUUCCUUGAACGAACUUCAAAGAUGGAUGAGGUAUUUUGCUUGCAUGUGCCUAAGGUAUUUUGCUUGCAUUUGCAUUUGGGGCUGAAGUAUUAAUUGGUGGUUGAGAAAAGAGGUGGGGGCGGUAGUUGUGGACUGAGGUGAUGGUUGUGGUAUGCAGGCAGAUGCUUAAGAAAGGGUGAAGGGUUCCAUAGUUGAGGGAGAAGGAGGUGUGGGCCCGGCUGUGUGUUUUGGGUUAGGGAAGAAGAAGGUUGAGUCAGUGGUGGUGGCGGCACUAUUCAGGUGAGAACUUUUUUUGUUUGUGUUCCAAUUAUUUUUUGGCCCAACUUGUCCUAGCUGGUACAUCCUAUUAAUUUUUUUAGCCUAGCUUUUGGUUGGCCCAUGUCAUGUUAUAGGUCAUCUUUUAUUUUUUUAGUUUACCAUUUGUCCUUCCCAUCAGUCUGCCGUUUAACAGUGAGGAAGGAGAAGAGAGAAUGAUGGAAGGGAAUAGCAAGAGUGUGAGAAGAGAAGAUGAUGGAAGGGGAAUGACGAUUUUCGUCACCCACCGUAGAUAGGGUUAGGUUAGAAUUAGAAGGAGAUGAGAAGAUGAUGGAAGGGGAAGGACCAAGUGUACGGUUAGGGGAUGACCGAAAAUAUGACAUAUGUUGCUUCAUUCAAACAAGGAGGACAGAAGAAGGUUGAAGGAGAAGAGAAAAAUCCCAUUGUUUGAUUAUCAGGUCUAUGUAGUAACCUUUCUGUCGUAACUUGUAUUGUUGCAAGGCUGAUACGGGUGUUAUUCCUUUUAACCAACUUUAAAUUUAGAUCUAGCUAGCUACCAUAUGUCAAGUUAUAUCUAAUUGUUUGUAAAUGGUAUUAUAAAACCAACCAUUGGUUUGCAGUAUGAUAAUGUUUUUGUUUUGUUUGAUACAUGUGGUGCCAAGAAGGUUAUUAUCAAAGAUGCUGCUGCUCCGAAUUACACAUCUAGAAAGCCAUGCUUCGAAUUACACAUCUAGAAAGCCAAGUAAAUAAGUUGCAAGUAACUGUAUGUUUUAGUAAUCUUUGGUAUACUAUCCAAGUCUAAUCAGAAAUGUAUAUUCUCAUUGACACUAUUCAUUAAUGAGUUAUUUAGUUAAUCUUAUUUAAGAAUGUAUUUGACCACAUUAAAAAAAUUGAUUUUUUUUCUCAUCCCAUGACAUUGAUAUGUUCAGUUCAUUUUUCAUACGCAUAAAGUAUGAUAAGUAGCUUUAGUUAGUGAUUGUCAUUUUGAAAGGUUGCAUUCAACUUUCUUCCAAGUAAUUUAAUAAUGAAUUACUUUCAUGGUAAAAUGGCAGCUUUCAUCCUCACCGUAUAAGCAUGAUUAGUAACUAAAAUAUAUGUUUUAUGUAGUUUUUAAACUUCAAUCCCUUUUGCAAUCAGGGUAAAUAAUGACAAGUAAGAAAUUAUGGUUUGGUUUUAUGUUGAACAUGAUUAGAUUUGUCAUUCAACUUCACUUCUUUUCCUUGGUUUCCAGGUUCUGUGACUACUUUGUAUUUUUUCUAUCCAAGAACUUACUUUUACAUAAAUGUCUGUGAUAAUGAAGUCUCAUAUUUCAAAUCAAGUGAUAUUAUCUUGGUCAGCUCAAAGGGUUGGAGGGUUUGUCUCAAGAAGAGUUUUUUCUAUGGCUGCCUGUGAAGGAUAUCAUUGUAAAUGAUCCAUCAUUAGGUCUCAUUCUCAUUGAUAUUGGUCUUGCCUAUAAACAGCUCUCUCUGCCUCUCUUAGAAGUUCCCCCAAUUUGCAGAUCCUAAGGUAACUGUCUUUUUUGUUUGUGUAUUUAUAGCUGUUAUUUAUUGAUGAUAACUUCAAAUUUGAAUAGAAAUCACUAUGUAAAAGCAUAUGCAUGCUAUUUUCAUCUCAUCCAUUAUUAUUUUUAGCAUAGUUAUUUGCAUCAGUUUCUUUUACUUAAAAAUCAAUUCUGACAAUUGAAGCUACUCACAUCAAUUUCUCCUCGUAAUUGAUUUUGUCUUUAAAAUCAACUAUUGAAGAAUUUUGAAACAUACAAUGAGACCGAAUGUAUUUCAAUUCUCAUCUAUUUUAGCUUCAAAGAUUUUGUUUUGUAUGUAGAAUUUUGAUUUAAAAGUAGAACAGAGCAUUUUCAUUCCUCAGUUUCUCCAAAUUCAGGGAUGUGUGUUUGUUCGUUUUAUUUAUGUGGGUGGUCUUAGGUUCAAUAUCAAGAUUCUUGACCUUAAUCUCAAAGAGGUUCAGUAUAGGUGAGGACAUGUCAUGCUGCAACUGAUGUUGCAGGUCCAAGUAAUGUGAAUGAUAAUAUAUUGUUAGAGGAUGAAGGAAGUUAUAGUAUUUGUUGAUUUAGUUAGUGAUGAUGAUUAUGUGGAUGAAGUUGAAGAUAUUGUGGGUUAUGAUCGGUUGAUGUGUACAUUUGAUAUCAAUGCUGAUCUCAUAAGUGGCAGGGAACCUCUGAUUAUCCCAGGUUGGGUUCAAAGAGAAUAUUUCAGUGAUAUAACUCCUAUAAUCAAUGUUCUUCUUCCCAAUGGAUCUUGGACCAAGUGGGAACUUUGUUGGUACUCGCUUGGUGGGAGAAGCAAGGUAGCUGGUAUGAAGGGUGAAGUUUAUGGCCGCUGGUUUGAAUUCUACAAGGACACAUUUAAGCGACUUCGAGACACUGUUGCAGGACAUUGGAUGCAGUUAUGAAAAAUGGAGCAACCAAAUAGAUAUAGGGUUGUGGUAUUCACCCUUUAAUUUUGCAUUAAGAAAUUGUAACUUUUUUGGAUGUUUUAUAACUAUGUAACUAUGUUAGUUAGACCUUCUUUUUAUUUUGCUACUCUGUUUAGUUACAUGUUUCCUUGAAUUUAUCUAAAAGUUGUACUUUGGCUGUAACUUUUUACUUUUUUUAAUGUGGUGAACAAUGUAAUUUAUUUCGGCAAGUAUCCUUGAACCUAUUUAAUGGUGAUACUAGGUUUGUUAUGCA